This 494-nucleotide ribosomal RNA is filed under the name uncultured bacterium. RNAcentral's name for it is "bacterial SSU rRNA". It matches the Rfam family "Bacterial small subunit ribosomal RNA", at positions 28 to 507 of the family's 1533-position model. The record is from RNAcentral.
GACGAACGCUGGCGGCGUGCCUAACACAUGCAAGUCGAACGGAGAGGACAUGAAGUAUUUCGGUACGGAAUGCUCUCUUAGUGGCGAACGGGUGAGUAACACGUGGGCAACCUGCCCCAGACUGGGGGAUAACAUUGUGAAAACAGUGCUAAUACCGCAUGACAGGGUUCCGGGCAUCCGGGACCCUUGAAAGGAGAAAUCCGGUCAGGGAUGGGCCCGCGUCCAAUUAGCUAGUUGGCGGGGUAACGGCCCACCAAGGCGACGAUUGGUAGCCGAACUGAGAGGUUGAUCGGCCACAUUGGGACUGAGACACGGCCCAGACUCCUACGGGAGGCAGCAGUGGGGAAUAUUGGUCAAUGGACGCAAGUCUGAACCAGCCAUGCCGCGUGCAGGAUGACGGCCCUAUGGGUUGUAAACUGCUUUUCCACGGGAAGAACCCUCCGACGUGUCGGAGACUGACGGUACCGUGGGAAUAAGCAUCGGCUAACUCCGUG